Molecule: ribosomal RNA, 660 nt
Filed under: uncultured bacterium
Lineage: Bacteria
Description: bacterial SSU rRNA
Rfam family: Bacterial small subunit ribosomal RNA
Source: RNAcentral
GCGUAGGGAUGAAGGCUCUGGGCUGUAAACCUCUUUUAUCAAGGAAGAAGAUCUGACGGUACUUGAUGAAUAAGCCACGGCUAAUUCCGUGCCAGCAGCCGCGGUAAUACGGGAGUGGCAAGCGUUAUCCGGAAUUAUUGGGCGUAAAGCGUCCGCAGGCGGUUUUGUAACGUCUGUCGUUAAAGCGUGGAGCUUAACUCCAUUUAGGCGGUGGAAACUACAAGACUAGAGUGUGGUAGGGGCAGAGGGAAUUCCCGGUGUAGCGGUGAAAUGCGUAGAUAUCGGGAAGAACACCAGUGGCGAAGGCGCUCUGCUGGGCCAUAACUGACGCUCAUGGACGAAAACCAGGGUGAGCGAAAGGGAUUAGAUACCCCUGUAGUCCUGGCCGUAAACGAUGAACACUAGGUGUCGGGGGAAUCGACCCCCUCGGUGUCGUAGCCAACGCGUUAAGUGUUCCGCCUGGGGAGUACGCACGCAAGUGUGAAACUCAAAGGAAUUGACGGGGGCCCGCACAAGCGGUGGAGUAUGUGGUUUAAUUCGAUGCAACGCGAAGAACCUUACCAGCGUUUGACAUCCUGCGAAUCUCUUGGAAACGAGAGAGUGCCUUCGGGAGCGCAGUGACAGGUGGUGCUUGGCUGUCGUCCGCUCGUGUCGUGAGAU